UUGUAAGGAUUUCCUUUCUAAAUUUCUCCUCUUUCAGUCUGAAGCCAUUCCUCUUUGUCACAUCAAUGCAGUUUCUAAUGAAGAGACCCUCUCCAGCUUCCCUGUAGGCCUCCUUCAGAUACUGGAAGGCUACUAUUGUAAUAAAUGGGCCAGGAGACCAGCUCCCUUUUAAUGCCUUUUUUAAGUGAUCAACUCUAGGUGGGGGCCCGAGGAGCCACGAACACCGCUGCUGCUCCCUUUGGCGACACAGAGGAGGACAUGAUCAGUUUUGCUUCACAGCAGAACCGGGGCUUCCGUUCUAAUGGGUGUGCCUAGGAAAACAUCUUCUGGCUCAUCGGCUAGGGUCCUCAUUCCAGUCCAGUUCUACUGAGGUGAUGGUGACCUCUAAAACCUUGUUGGUGGAGUAGAGGGACUUCCCCCCAGAAUGUUUCCAGCUGCCAUUUUGGGGAGCAGCAGAGGCAAUACCUGAGGGAUUCAAUAAGGGUACAGGACAACUAAGGUACAGCAAGGAAAAACAAGCAACAACAAAACCAUACAAAAUCCAAAAUCAAAAGAGAAAUGAAUGGAGAACUGUGGUAGUGUGUUUUUCAGCUGUAAUUGUUUAAGUUGUUAAUGUGUUUUAUUCCAAAGAUUUGUAAUGGUUUAUUCCUAUGUACCCCUACCUUCUGUUAAAGUGGUCUAGCCUUAUGUUAAGCCCUUCCCCUGCACCCUUCCAUCAAUCCUUGUACCUGCCCCCUUUUCCAGUCUCUUCCAUGUCAGUCUAUGUAGUCCUGCCCCUGCCAUCCAUCAAUCAUUGUAACCCCUGCCUUUUAUCUAGAAUCUUCCCUAUCAUUUAUGUAAUCCCUAACCUUCCAUUGGUUGUGGAUGUUUGCUCUCCUGCCCCCAUGUACCUUAUUAGUUGUAUGUUAAUGCAGUCCCACCUCAUGCUCCUCCCUUAAGCUAGCUGGUUGGUUGUUAGGCUGUCCCCCUGCCACCUCAGAGACCGCCCCCCUUUAUAAGUUGCUGCACUACCUUGUUCUGUGCUCUUUGUCUUUGCUUUCCUUCAUGUGUGAUAGUUUCCUCUUUGUCUUUGCUUUUCCUUUGUGUGUUACAUCUGCUCGCUCCCUCUCAGGGGAGGAAUAAAAGCCACU
Molecule: long non-coding RNA, 1130 nt
Organism: Vidua chalybeata
Lineage: Eukaryota; Metazoa; Chordata; Aves; Passeriformes; Viduidae
Exons: 3
Source: RefSeq, a predicted model, not a curated record